Molecule: ribosomal RNA, 498 nt
Filed under: uncultured bacterium
Lineage: Bacteria
Description: bacterial SSU rRNA
Rfam family: Bacterial small subunit ribosomal RNA
Source: RNAcentral
GACGAACGCUGGCGGCGUGCCUAAUACAUGCAAGUCGAGCGGAGUUAGAGAAGCUUGCUUCUCUAACUUAGCGGCGGACGGGUGAGUAACACGUGGGCAAUCUGCCCGUAACGACUGGGAUAACUCCGGGAAACCGGGGCGUAAUACCGGAUAAUCCUGACUCUCUCCUGAGAGUCAGUUGAAAGAUGGUUUCGGCUAUCACUUACGGAUGAGCCCGCGGCGCAUUAGCUAGUUGGUAGGGUAAUGGCCUACCAAGGCGACGAUGCGUAGCCGACCUGAGAGGGUGAUCGGCCACACUGGGACUGAGACACGGCCCAGACUCCUACGGGAGGCGGCAGUAGGGAAUCUUCCACAAUGGACGAAAGUCUGAUGGAGCAACGCCGCGUGAGUGAAGAAGGUUUUCGGAUCGUAAAACUCUGUUGUAAGGGAAGAACACGUACGAGAGUAACUGCUCGUACCUUGACGGUACCUUAUUAGAAAGCCACGGCUAACUACGUG